RNAcentral lists this long non-coding RNA (227 nucleotides) under Homo sapiens (human). Its description in RNAcentral is "HSALNT0391110". The record is from RNAcentral. Lineage: Eukaryota; Metazoa; Chordata; Mammalia; Primates; Hominidae.
AGGCUGGAGUACAGUGGCGCGAUCUCGGCUCACUGCAACCUCCGCUUCCCGGGUUCAAGCGAUUCUCCUGUCUCAGCCUCCCGAGUAGCUGGGAUUACAGGUGCCCGCCACCACACCCGCCACCACACCCGGCUAAUUUUUGUAUUUUUAGUAGAGACGGGAUUUCACCAUCUUGGCCAGGCUGGUCUUGAACUCCUGACCUCGUGAUCCACCCACCUCAGCCUCCC